RNAcentral lists this ribosomal RNA (939 nucleotides) under Streptococcus parasanguinis. Its description in RNAcentral is "bacterial SSU rRNA". It matches the Rfam family "Bacterial small subunit ribosomal RNA", at positions 8 to 929 of the family's 1533-position model. Lineage: Bacteria; Bacillati; Bacillota; Bacilli; Lactobacillales; Streptococcaceae. The record is from RNAcentral.
AGAGUUUGAUCAUGGCUCAGGAUGAACGCUGGCGGCGUGCCUAAUACAUGCAAGUAGAACGCUGAAGCUUGGUGCUUGCACCGAGCGGAUGAGUUGCGAACGGGUGAGUAACGCGUAGGUAACCUGCCUCUUAGCGGGGGAUAACUAUUGGAAACGAUAGCUAAUACCGCAUAAAAGUCGACAUUGCAUGAUGUUGACUUGAAAGGUGCAAUUGCAUCACUAAGAGAUGGACCUGCGUUGUAUUAGCUAGUUGGUGAGGUAACGGCUCACCAAGGCGACGAUACAUAGCCGACCUGAGAGGGUGAUCGGCCACACUGGGACUGAGACACGGCCCAGACUCCUACGGGAGGCAGCAGUAGGGAAUCUUCGGCAAUGGGGGCAACCCUGACCGAGCAACGCCGCGUGAGUGAAGAAGGUUUUCGGAUCGUAAAGCUCUGUUGUAAGAGAAGAACGAGUGUGAGAGUGGAAAGUUCACACUGUGACGGUAACUUACCAGAAAGGGACGGCUAACUACGUGCCAGCAGCCGCGGUAAUACGUAGGUCCCGAGCGUUAUCCGGAUUUAUUGGGCGUAAAGCGAGCGCAGGCGGUUAGAUAAGUCUGAAGUUAAAGGCUGUGGCUUAACCAUAGUACGCUUUGGAAACUGUUUAACUUGAGUGCAGAAGGGGAGAGUGGAAUUCCAUGUGUAGCGGUGAAAUGCGUAGAUAUAUGGAGGAACACCGGUGGCGAAAGCGGCUCUCUGGUCUGUAACUGACGCUGAGGCUCGAAAGCGUGGGGAGCAAACAGGAUUAGAUACCCUGGUAGUCCACGCCGUAAACGAUGAGUGCUAGGUGUUGGGUCCUUUCCGGGACUCAGUGCCGCAGCUAACGCAUUAAGCACUCCGCCUGGGGAGUACGACCGCAAGGUUGAAACUCAAAGGAAUUGACGGGGGCCCGCACAAG